This 253-nucleotide ribosomal RNA is filed under the name uncultured bacterium. Its description in RNAcentral is "partial 16S ribosomal RNA". It matches the Rfam family "Bacterial small subunit ribosomal RNA", at positions 524 to 776 of the family's 1533-position model. The record is from RNAcentral.
UACGUAGGGUGCAAGCGUUAAUCGGAAUUACUGGGCGUAAAGCGUGCGCAGGCGGUUAUGUAAGACAGUUGUGAAAUCCCCGGGCUUAACCUGGGAACUGCAUUUGUGACUGCAAGGCUAGAGUACGGUAGAGGGGGAUGGAAUUCCGCGUGUAGCAGUGAAAUGCGUAGAUAUGCGGAGGAACACCGAUGGCGAAGGCAAUCCCCUGGACCUGUACUGACGCUCAUGCACGAAAGCGUGGGGAGCAAACAGG